AUUUUCUCCCACAACAACCACAGCAGCAACGACAGCAAAUGAGGGAUCACUGGGACUACGAUUCAGAAUGAUCCGUACAUUCCUAAGUAACUAUUUGGACUAGUCCACAACCGCAUUUCAGGAAUUGGCAGCAAAUGUGACCAAAGAGUGUUUUUUUCUGGCAUCCUGGAACACACCCUGUCUGGUUACCGGGCAAUGUAGCCAGUUGGGAGUUCUGAUUACCCGCACCUGUAUCCGAUCAGCUAUCUGCACACCUGGUCCUGAUCAUCAUCUCUCCUCUUCAUAAACCCGGACCUGACAUCCAUUCCCUGCCGGAUCGUUAGCCAUGAACAUUACUCACCCGGAUCAUUUACCCCAUUCCCACCUGGUCGUCGGAGGAUUCCGCUAUCCCAUUGGAUCCACCUAUUUACUCCCAUCAACUCACCACCGCUGCCCGCUACGCCACCUGGAUAUAUUUACACAUUCACUUGUAAAUAAAUACUCACCUUCUUCCUACUAUCCUUGUCCUGGUCUGCUUCUGGGUUCGAUUUUGAAAGAACGUGACAAUAUAUAUCCAUGAACUGAUUUUGACUGGCUGAGAAAAGCUGCCUGUCUGUCUGUCUCGUCCCUACUCCCGACAUGUUCAUUAUUACUGGACAGCUGGAGAUCGAAUUUGAAAAUUGAAACAAUGUUGCAAAUGUCGGAGAGACGGAGAGCAAAGGGUUUAUACAAAUCUUCGCUGUUAAACUAAAUGGUAGCCGAAAAGAAAUGUGAGAUUUUUUUUUUAUAGUGGAGAUCAAGUUUGUAAAUUGCUUGGCUGGACUGAAGAGACAGUUGGAUGGAGUAGUCAGAUGGAACAGAGUAAAUAGGCAUUUUAAGGUCAUAGAUUUAGCCAGCGGUAAUUUGUGGAAUAGACACUGUCUGAAAUUCGAUUUUAACCAAUCAGCAUUCAGGACAAGACCCACCCGUUAUAUAAUACAGUAUUACACAAUGGCCUUGUUGCAAUCAAAAAGUAUGAUUUGAAAUGGAGGCCAGUAGGCCUACUUAGAACUGCCACAUCAAGGGUGUGCAGACCUACACAAUCAAUAUAUUUGUUUUUUUAAAUGUUUUAUUAAAGUGCAUUUCUGUCGUUUUCA
Molecule: long non-coding RNA, 1115 nt
Organism: Oncorhynchus keta (chum salmon)
Lineage: Eukaryota; Metazoa; Chordata; Actinopteri; Salmoniformes; Salmonidae
Exons: 3
Source: RefSeq, a predicted model, not a curated record